Molecule: ribosomal RNA, 519 nt
Filed under: uncultured bacterium
Lineage: Bacteria
Description: bacterial SSU rRNA
Rfam family: Bacterial small subunit ribosomal RNA
Source: RNAcentral
GAGUUUGAUCCUGGCUCAGGAUGAACGCUGGCGGCGUGCCUAACACAUGCAAGUCGAACGGAGUUACUUUGGUGAAGUUUUCGGAUGGAUCUGAUUUAACUUAGUGGCGGACGGGUGAGUAAUGCGUGAGCAACCUGCCCUUCAGAGGGGGACAACAGUUGGAAACGACUGCUAAUACCGCAUAAUGUAUUCGGAAGGCAUCUUCUGAAUACCAAAGGAGAAAUCCGCUGAGGGAUGGGCUCACGUCUGAUUAGUUAGUUGGUGAGGUAACGGCUCACCAAGACUGCGAUCAGUAGCCGGACUGAGAGGUUGAACGGCCACAUUGGGGCUGAGAUACGGCCCAGACUCCUACGGGAGGCAGCAGUGGGGAAUAUUGGGCAAUGGGCGAAAGCCUGACCCAGCAACGCCGCGUGGAGGAAGACGGUUUUCGGAUUGUAAACUCCUGUUCUUAGUGAAGAAUAAUGACGGUAGCUAAGGAGCAAGCCACGGCUAACUACGUGCCAGCAGCCGCGGUAAUAC